CAGUAGCCGCGGUAAUACGUAGGUGGCAAGCGUUGUCCGGAAUUAUUGGGCGUAAAGGGCUCGCAGGCGGUUUCUUAAGUCUGAUGUGAAAGCCCCCGGCUCAACCGGGGAGGGUCAUUGGAAACUGGGAAACUUGAGUGCAGAAGAGGAGAGUGGAAUUCCACGUGUAGCGGUGAAAUGCGUAGAGAUGUGGGGGAACACCAGUGGCGAAGGCGACUCUCUGGUCUGUAACUGACGCUGAGGAGCGAAAGCGUGGGGAGCGAACAGGAUUAGAUACCCCAGUAGUCCCUGUCUCUUAUAC
This 301-nucleotide ribosomal RNA is filed under the name uncultured bacterium. RNAcentral describes it as "partial 16S ribosomal RNA". It matches the Rfam family "Bacterial small subunit ribosomal RNA", at positions 509 to 807 of the family's 1533-position model. The record is from RNAcentral.